AUCGAUUAACCACCUCAUGAAGAGUGUUCUGUUUGAAGAUCCGGAUCCGCUAAUGCUUUUGAUGCAAUAAAGACCCGGAUUCGAAUCAUUCGAUGAAGACCCAUAUUCAAUGAAGAGAAAGAUUGUGGUGGUGUAUUGGCGGUGUGGGGGUCAAAAGGUUCGAUUUGUUUUUCUUGGGGGGGGGGGGGGUUCUUCCGGUGGUGGUGGGUUUGACGGCGACUGUGGUGGUGGGUUUUGACGGCAGUGGAGCCUGGCGAUGGUUUCCUUCCUGUUGGUUCGGGUUUCACGGCACGGGUUAGCUCGAUCAAACAGACAACUCGGUCAACUGUCGGGUGCACUCGGUCAAAGCUGGUCAGCCGUUUCAGUCACGGUUCAGUCUUGCUUCGGGUUCGGGUCAGCGGGUUAACUUGUAUUUAUAAUUUGUUGCUUCGGGUUCGGGUUAGCGGGUUAACUUGUAUUUAUUAAUUGUAAACGUAGAAUCAUAUGUUUAUGUUGUUUCGUUUAUUGUGUAUUGAAUUUUGAAAAUUAUAACGACAACUUGUAUU
Molecule: long non-coding RNA, 545 nt
Filed under: Helianthus annuus (common sunflower)
Lineage: Eukaryota; Viridiplantae; Streptophyta; Magnoliopsida; Asterales; Asteraceae
Source: RNAcentral